This 96-nucleotide non-coding RNA is filed under the name unclassified sequences. RNAcentral's name for it is "PhotoRC-II RNA". It matches the Rfam family "PhotoRC-II RNA". The record is from RNAcentral.
AAAAUGUUCUGGACACCCCGUAAACCAAGACCUCUAGGGUGUAUAAAUACGUCUUUCAUACCCACGCCCGAGGGUGGUGUGGGAAUAGUAAAACCG